GAUAAGAUGAUCUUUUCGGAGUGAAUCUUUGCUGACGAGUGGCGGACGGGUGAGUAAUGCUUGGGAAUCUGCCCAAUAGUGGGGGAAAACUCGGGGAAACCCGGGCUAAUACCGCAUAAUCUCUACGGAGGAAAGAGGGCCUCUACGUGUAAGCUCUCGCUAAUGGAUGAGCCCAAGUCAGAUUAGCUUGUUGGUAAGGUAAUGGCUUACCAAGGCUACGAUCUGUAGCUGGUCUGAGAGGAUGAUCAGCCACACUGGGACUGAGACACGGCCCAGACUCCUACGGGAGGCAGCAGUGGGGAAUAUUGCACAAUGGGCGCAAGCCUGAUGCAGCAAUGCCGCGUGUGUGAAGAAGGCUCUAGGGUUGUAAAGCACUUUCAAUAGAGAAGAAAAGCUUGAAGUUAAUAUCUUCAAGCCUUGACGUAACCUAUACAAGAAGCACCGGCUAAUUCCGUGCCAGCAGCCGCGGUAAUACGGAAGGUGCGAGCGUUAAUCGGAAUUACUGGGCGUAAAGCGAGCGUAGGCUGUUAAUUAAGUCGAAUGUGAAAAUCCCCCGGGCUCAACCUGGGAACUGCAUUCGAAAACUAUUUUGACUAGAGUAUGGGAGAGGAAAGUAGAAUUUCCGGUGUAGCGGUGAAAUGCGUAGAUAUCGGAAGGAAUACCAGUGGCGAAGGCGGCCUUCUGGAACAAUACUGACGCUGAGGUUCGAAAGCGUGGGGAGCAAACAGGAUUAGAUACCCUGGUAGUCCACGCCGUAAACGAUGAGAACUAGAUGUUGGAAGGAUUGGCCUUUCAGUGUCGCAGCUAA
This 808-nucleotide ribosomal RNA is filed under the name uncultured bacterium. Its description in RNAcentral is "bacterial SSU rRNA". It matches the Rfam family "Bacterial small subunit ribosomal RNA", at positions 59 to 855 of the family's 1533-position model. The record is from RNAcentral.